RNAcentral lists this ribosomal RNA (1300 nucleotides) under metagenome. RNAcentral describes it as "SSU rRNA". It matches the Rfam family "Eukaryotic small subunit ribosomal RNA", at positions 454 to 1777 of the family's 1831-position model. The record is from RNAcentral.
GCACGGGGAGGUAGUGACGAAAAAUAACGAUACGGAACUCAUACGAGGCUCCGUAAUCGGAAUGAGUACACUUUAAAUCCUUUAACGAGGAUCUAUUGGAGGGCAAGUCUGGCGCCAGCAGCCGCGGUAAUUCCAGCUCCAAUAGCGUAUAUUAAAGUUGUUACGGUUAAAAAGCUCGUAGUUGGAUCUCGGUUUCACUCAGGCGGUACACCUUGCGGUGUUCACUGUCUGGGCGGACGUUUCUGUUGGUUCGCUGUUGGUUCUCUUAAUCGAGUGCCAGCCGGUGGCCAGCACGUUUACCUUGAAAAAAUUGGAGUGCUCAAAGCAGGCGUUACAGCCUGAACAUUAGUGCAUGGAAUAAUGGAAUAGGAUCUCGAUUCUUUUCGUUGGCUUUCGGAGUCGAGGUAAUGAUUAAUAGGGACAGACGGGGGCAUUCGUACUGCGACGUUAGAGGUGAAAUUCUUGGAUCGUCGCAAGACGAACUACUGCGAAAGCAUUUGCCAAGAAUGUUUUCAUUAAUCAAGAACGAAAGUUAGAGGUUCGAAGGCGAUCAGAUACCGCCCUAGUUCUAACCAUAAACGAUGCCAACCGGCGAUCCGUCGUCGUUAAUUGAAUGACUCGACGGGCAGCCUCCGGGAAACCAGAGUGUUUGGGUUCCGGGGGAAGUAUGGUUGCAAAGCUGAAACUUAAAGGAAUUGACGGAAGGGCACCACCAGGAGUGGAGCCUGCGGCUUAAUUUGACCCAACACGGGAAAUCUCACCAGGCCCGGACACCGGAAGGAUUGACAGAUUGAGAGCUCUUUCUUGAUUCGGUGGGUGGUGGUGCAUGGCCGUUCUUAGUUGGUGGAGCGAUUUGUCUGGUUAAUUCCGAUAACGAACGAGACUCUGGCCUACUAACUAGAAGGGCCGUUCUUUAUGAGCGGUCCUCUGCUUCUUAGAGGGACGGGCGGCGUUUAGCCGCACGAGAAUGAGCAAUAACAGGUCUGUGAUGCCCUUAGAUGUUCUGGGCUGCACGCGCGCUACACUGAAGGAAUCAGCAUGUUCUCCCCUCCCUGAAAAGGGCGGGUAACCCGUUGAAACUCCUUCGUGAUGGGGAUUGGAGAUUGUAAUUAUUCUCCAUGAACGAGGAAUUCCCAGUAGGCGCGAGUCAUCAGCUUGCGUCGAUUACGUCCCUGCCCUUUGUACACACCGCCCGUCGCUACUACCGAUCGAGUGAUUUAGUGAGGACUUCGGACUGGUCUUCAAGUUGGCUUCGGUCAGCUCGAAGCUCCGGAAAGAUGCCCAAACUUGAUCACUUAGA